CCCAGACUCCUACGGGAGGCAGCAGUGGGGGAUAUUGCACAAUGGGGGAACCCUGAUGCAGCGACGCCGCGUGGGUGAAGGAGUAUUUCGGUAUGUAAAGCCCUAUCGGCAGGGAAGAAGCAAGACGGUACCUGACUAAGAAGCCCCGGCUAACUACGUGCCAGCAGCCGCGGUAAUACGUAGGGGGCGAGCGUUAUCCGGAUUCACUGGGUGUAAAGGGAGCGUAGACGGCCAAGCAAGCCAGGGGUGAAAGCCCGGGGCCCAACCCCGGGACUGCCCUUGGAACUGCUUGGCUGGAGUGCGGGAGGGGCAGGCGGAAUUCCUGGUGUAGCGGUGAAAUGCGUAGAUAUCAGGAGGAACACCGGCGGCGAAGGCGGCCUGCUGGACCGCUACUGACGUUGAGGCCCGAAAGCGUGGGGAGCAAACAGGAUUAGAUACCCCGGUA
Molecule: ribosomal RNA, 445 nt
Filed under: uncultured bacterium
Lineage: Bacteria
Description: partial 16S ribosomal RNA
Rfam family: Bacterial small subunit ribosomal RNA
Source: RNAcentral